AGCCGCUAAUUGUCUGUGAUUGAGUUGCAGGCUGGGAGGGAGAGACCUGGGACGCGCGAGCGUCUGUCAGCCAAUCAUCCGCUAAUCAGAGAGCUCAAAUUAAAAGAGUGCGUGUUUGGAGUCGAGGACGGGAUGAUGGCGCAGAGCCGGAGUGAUUGUGAACUUCACCAGUGCGCACAAUGUUUACUGGAAAAGGAGAGAGAAAUCUGAUGUUUUACACGCCAGAAAAACAAACCGAGAAAACGUGAAGGAAGCGACUGGUCAAGCACAGCUCUUCCUGAAGCUGUCACAGAUGGGACGGGCCCCGGGCCCCUUCAUCCCCCGUGGAGCCAAGCCCCCUGCCCGCUUUUUGAUUUAAUUACAGGGAAGAGGGCGCAUCAAUUUCAUUGGCGGUGCAGAGAGAUGACAGCACACAAAUUGAAAGAAAAGGAGGAGGAGGAGGCCAGCGCUCAUCAUUAACACUGAACACAAUCCUGUGUGCCAUGUAACAAGAUUAGAAACAUUAUUAUCAUUCUCCCAUACACAGACAGACA
Sinocyclocheilus anshuiensis is the source of this 533-nucleotide long non-coding RNA. RefSeq lists it as uncharacterized. The record is from RefSeq and is a predicted model, not a curated record. The transcript is spliced from 2 exons. Lineage: Eukaryota; Metazoa; Chordata; Actinopteri; Cypriniformes; Cyprinidae.